UCAUUUUUCAACGCCAAAAGAUCGACAGGCAAAAAAUGGCUAGUUUAAUGGACCCAAUUUCGAUACUAAUGAGUGUAAUUCUAAGAAAGAGCAUAUAUGUGUAUCAGGAAUCCGCUCUCUUGUUGAUGCAAUUCUUUCCAGUUUUUGUGUCAACAAUCCGAUUUUCCCGUUUCAUUUUCAGUCGUAACUCCGCUGUUUCAGGCAGGUACUACUACUCUCCCAGGUCAUCCAUGGUGGCUCGACAUGAUCGGUAGUCCUACAAAAUUCACGGUGAAUCAUUGGUGAGAAGAUCUGAAGGUUCAUCACACGUUCUUCGUCGAAGAGCAAUGAGCUUAAUCUUGCCCAUAUAGCCAAUGAGUGGCCGUUUAAUCUUAAACACGUUCAAACCCAUGGCAGAAAGCGUGAGAGGGCGACGCAGAGACGCACAGAGAGAGACAAACGGAAAGAGACCCUUUCUCAGCAUAUGAUCUCUCGUCCCUCUCUCUCCUGUCUCAGCUAGCAGCCGGCGGCCCAACAGAAGUGUGGGUGUCGAAGCUUGUUAAGUGACAAAUCUUGCUUUGAUUAUUUCUAUAAUUCUAUUUGCUAAUCGGUGGCCUUUGAUUCUUCUGACCUGUGUAAAAAUCAUUUUCAUUUUGUAAAUGGUAGAUGAGAAGGAAGAGAGAUCAGAAUCUCUGUUUUGUGAUUCUCUUUAUACUCUUUUCGAAAAAAAUAAAUAUUUUGGAACUUUUUGUAUAGACUAAGAAGGAUUUCUUAGGGCUGCCGAAGAAUGGGUAGCGGAUGGUUGGUUUGAUCAAUUUGUCUAUGAUUUGUUUUUAACUUUCUGGUUUCUGUUUGAUUUACUCGGAUUAAUAUUAGUCUUUGUGAGUUUCCUUCAGUUUGUUAAAAGGUCCAAAAGCCCUUAUUUUAUUUUUUUUUACAAAAAAUAAAAACCGGCCCCAAAAUUAUCCUAAAAACCAGUCCAAAAGGUCUAAAAACCAACAUAUAAAAAGCGGUUUUCAAACCGCCGAUUAUAAGUUUUAAUAACUGCUAACCACCAAAGCGGAGCAGUUGCGAUUGUUAAAAUUCAAUACCCUCCUUAGGCGGUUGCAGUUAGUGGUUUUAGCUAAUAACUGCUAAUCGUAACCGCUUGUACAAGUUUAAUUAGCGCUGGCGUGACGUCUAACGGAAUUUGUCAAAAUUUUUAACGAAAUUUGAUUCGAGAGAGCAAUUUGUAAA
Alnus glutinosa is the source of this 1215-nucleotide long non-coding RNA. RefSeq lists it as uncharacterized. The transcript is spliced from 3 exons. The record is from RefSeq and is a predicted model, not a curated record. Lineage: Eukaryota; Viridiplantae; Streptophyta; Magnoliopsida; Fagales; Betulaceae.